RNAcentral lists this ribosomal RNA (730 nucleotides) under uncultured Lactobacillus sp. RNAcentral's name for it is "bacterial SSU rRNA". It matches the Rfam family "Bacterial small subunit ribosomal RNA", at positions 780 to 1501 of the family's 1533-position model. Lineage: Bacteria; Bacillati; Bacillota; Bacilli; Lactobacillales; Lactobacillaceae. The record is from RNAcentral.
AGAUACCCUGGUAGUCCCAUGCUGUAAANGGUGAGUNNUAAGUGUUGGGGAGGUUUCCGCCUCUCAGUGCUGCAGCUAACGCAUCAAGCACUCCGCCUGGGGGAGUACGACCCGCAAGGUUAAAACUCAAAGGAANUGACGGGGGCCCGCACAAGCGGUGGAGCAUGUGGUUUAAUUNGAAGCAACGCGAAGAACCUUACCAGGUCUUGACAUCUAGUGCCAACUAAGAGAUUAGGCGUUCCCUUCGGGGACACUAAGACAGGUGGUGCAUGGCUGUCGUCAGCUCGUGUCGUGAGAUGUUGGGUUAAGUCCCGCAACGAGCGCAACCCUUAUUAUUAGUUGCCAGCAUUAAGUUGGGCACUCUAAUGAGACUGCCGGUGACAAACCGGAGGAAGGUGGGGAUGACGUCAAGUCAUCAUGCCCCUUAUGACCUGGGCUACACACGUGCUACAAUGGGCAGUACAACGAGGAGCGAACUUGUGAAGGCAAGCGAAUCUCUGAAAGCUGUUCUCAGUUCGGACUGUAGGCUGCAACUCGCCUACACGAAGCUGGAAUCGCUAGUAAUCGCGGAUCAGCACGCCGCGGUGAAUACGUUCCCGGGCCUUGUACACACCGCCCGUCACACCAUGAGAGUUUGUAACACCCAAAGCCGGCCGGAUAACCUAGUUUACUAGGAGUCAGCCGUCUAAGGUGGGNNNNAUGAUUAGGGUGAAGUCGUAACAAGGUAACC